CGUUGUGGACAGACUUCCUGGGAUGGACUUUCUGCAGGAAUUCCCGGAAACCUGGGAUCUGCCCAGCCUUCAAAGCGAAUCCAAUGGUGCCUCCGACCACAUGGAAGUAUUCAGGCAUGGCGAUCAAGGAAGAGCUGGCCCAGGCCUCGCUGGCCAGCCAGAUCCUACCCGUGAUAUUUCGCCGGACGAUUUCCUUGAUGAGGGGUUCCAGGUCUGGGCCACUGGAGAAGACGACGAUGACUUUGGCUGUGGAAUUCUGUAUCACUUCCACCACUUGCUGGAUCUCUUCCUCAUCAGAGUACUGGGAGAUGAGUUCACUGAAGUCGAUGCAGAUGUCCCUCUCCUCAGCUUCCUCUCGGAACUUCUCGAUCCCUGGCCGACCAUAGUCAUCAUCAGCUGCAAUUGUGCCCACCCAGUUCCAGCGGAAGUACUCGAUGAUGUCAGCCAUGGCGGUGGCCUGGUGUUCAUCAUUGGGGAUGGUACGGAGGAAGGACUUGAACUGAUUUUUGUUGCUGAGGAGUCUGCUGGAAGAGGCAUAGCUGACCUGGAAAGAACACAGAAUGAGUGAGUGAUUGAGGUGCCAGGUGAGCCUCCAGACUGUGUGGAGGAGGCUUUUUGAACAUUCACUGAUCUAAUAUAUCAAAUGCUGGUCACUGCAGACAGGAUGAAGGCGUGAAGACAACCAGAAUCUAUUCCUCUCCAGUGUGAGCACUCAAGCAUCUGUCAGUCUAUCAAGGAGCAUUCUAAUUCCCAGCAGUAAAGGCAGAAGAACAGCCAUUUACUGAUGGAAUGGAGUGGAAAAUAAAUAACUGAACCCUUUGGAAUAAAAGACAAAGUUUUAUACAAGGUAUCAGGAAGACCAAGGGAAAGUGCUGGAUCCCUUCUGGAAGUUGCAAAUCUCAAGAGAAAGUGCUCUUCUCUCUCACAAGAUGGGUCAAGACUUGAGGUGCAGUAAUGGUCUCUGAUGUCCAGAUUAAGGCAGGUGAUAUACAGCCCUCUGUACUCUGCAGAAGUCAGAUACUAUUUGAAGUAAUUGUACCUAGUGUUAGACGCCAUAUUCUAAGAGUCAUGAUAAAUUAGGGAACAUCAGAGAGAGGGCAUCCAGAAUGGUGAGGGUCUGAAAAUCAUGUCAUGAAACAACUAUUUAGAAAACUAUUUGGUCUGGAAAAGAAAUGAUUCAAGGGGGCAUGUUAGCUGUCUUCAAAUGGCUGAAGACAGAGUCCAGUGAGAGAGUUAAGAUGGAUUCUGUGUUUCUCUAUCUAUGUAGAUGGAUUCUGUGUUAGCAGGGGGAUUUCAGCUUCCUAUAAGAAUUCUAAUGGGAGUGAUUCCAAAUGCUACGGGCUGCAUUUUGAAGACGCCCAGGUCAUGCCAGCCACUGAAGUUUCUUUCAGCUUUAAAAUCCUUAAAAAAAAUAAGAGUGAGGCAGCCAACACUCAGGUAUUAUGACCACUGGGGCACUUAAGGUCAUUGGGAGAUUUUACUACUCAGGUUUGCAAAACCUACAAUAAAUUUCUUUCUAGGUACUUGGUCUUCCAUUAAGUAACACAGCCUCCAGGUGAACAAUGAUGACUGAGUUACCAAGUGACCAAGCACGGCUCCAACAGGCCAUGGAUUUUUCUAUUCAGUAUCUUUGACAUUUUAUUUUUGGAAAAAUUUCUUUUAAAAAAAUGAGGGGGGGGGGGAAUAAUAAGCUUCAGCAUGGUUACCAGUCACCAUUUUUGAAAAGAGAGAACCAACUUUGAAAAAAUUAUUUCAGGUUUGGUACAGCUUUUCUCCAACCACCAGGAGAAAAGACUCUCCAGGGUGGCUCCUGACCUUACCUGAUACAUUCCACAGACUCCGGCCUCGACUUUAGAUCUUGAUCUUUGGCUGCUACUCCAAAAUGAAUAGGAAAGAGCCCCCCGAGGAUAAUGUCCCCUUUCUUCUGGGCUCGCUGGUCAGGCCCAUAGGCAGAAGUACACCAGGUAAAAGCCAAGAAGAUCCAACAGCAGCUAUAAAAUGCCAUAGUUCUGCUUUCUCUCCAGGGGGAGGGACAAGGGUGCUGGUGGUCUGGGGGCCCCUGAGAACUUUCCCCCUUGGUGUGACUUACUCCCUGCGGUGGAGGCACAUGUCUACAGAAUUAGUAACAGAAUGGAACCGUGGUGUUUGAAUUUCCACUUCUGCCCUCUCCAUCGCAGGCUAGUGAGGCGGGUGGUUCUUGAGUCUUCAGAAGCCACAUCAUGCAGAGACCGCGGGUAGUACUUUCUAAAAACAAAAGAGAAACAAAAUGAAUUCAACUAAGCCUAAAUCCCAUGUUGUUAUGAUGACUGAAACAGAAGUGGCUCAGAAUUUCCACUUAGAGAGGCUGAGGGGUAGCAGGUGGGGAGGGCAUGGCUUUGAGCCUCAUUUUUAUAGCACUUCACAUAAGAUACAGAACAUUUCAAUUGCCCAUAUCAGAGAAGGACCAUGUUCAUUUUAAAGAGGCCAUUGAUAAGCUGAGGCCUUCACUGAUGUUGCCACUGGAUUUUAAUCCCUUCAUUCUUCCGUGUGAAUAAUGCACAGAGUUGGCCUAGUGGUAGCAGUUCCUUGUAUUAUACUACUAGUAAUGCUAUUUUAUUCACCAUAUAUGUUUGUAUGGAAAAUACAGAAUGAGUCAUAGUUAAGUUUAAAUCUGACUCCAAAUCAAACAAAAAUGUCAGAGAAGGCCACUUAUUUUUAUUUAUUAUUGUACUCCCCCCACCCCACUUUCGGGGCCUCCUCAUCCCAGAUUUCUGGUUCCAUUUAUAAUAUGAUACUCCAUAAACCUUUGAAGAAUAGUUCUUGGAAAGGAUGCAGGUAAAUCAAGGGUUGGAUUAUGUUCUACCAAACUCUACAGCUGGAUCUAGGGAAUGGUCCUUCUGCUUCAGCAUCAUUAUCCUAGUAGGAACUCUCUGCUCUUCUCGCUCCACACACUAUCUCACCCACUCUGUGGGUCAAUUACUAAUUACCAGUUACAUGCAAAAGUUGACUAACUAUACAGCCUCUCCUGAGGUUCAGGCCCAAGCACUGAACUGUUGACUGGACAUCGCCACCUGGAUGUCCCACAGGUGCUUCCAACUUGACAGACUCUAAACUCACCUUCCUCCCAACCUUGUUCCUCCUUCACUGCCUUCUUCCUCAGCAAACGACAUGCCAUCCACAAAGACACAAAAUAAGGAAUCCUCCUUACCCCCUCCCUCUUCUCAUCAU
Globicephala melas (long-finned pilot whale) is the source of this 3207-nucleotide non-coding RNA. The record is from RefSeq and is a predicted model, not a curated record. NCBI's taxonomy places the organism in Eukaryota, Metazoa, Chordata, Mammalia, Artiodactyla, Delphinidae.